Molecule: non-coding RNA, 224 nt
Organism: Paramuricea clavata
Lineage: Eukaryota; Metazoa; Cnidaria; Anthozoa; Malacalcyonacea; Plexauridae
Source: the annotation of a GenBank genome assembly
CAUGCAUGGAUGCUUGAAAAUACCAGAUUUAUUUCUCGUGUUGAACACGAAUAGUCCGCGAAUAGUCGACGAAUAGAGCGAAUAGUCGACGAAUAGUACGAAUAGUCCGCGAAUAGUCGACGAAUAGUCGACGAAUAGUACAAUUUGAAAUCGACAAACAUGAAAUCGUGAAAACAUGAAGUCGUGAAAACAUUCGUUGAUGUCAAUGACAUCAUACGUAUUCG